UACGUAGGGUGCGAGCGUUGUCCGGAAUUAUUGGGCGUAAAGAGCUCGUAGGCGGUGUGUCGCGUCGGCCGUGAAAACCUGCAGCUCAACUGUGGGCUUGCGGUCGAUACGGGCAUCACUGGAGUUCGGCAGGGGAGACUGGAAUUCCUGGUGUAGCGGUGAAAUGCGCAGAUAUCAGGAAGAACACCCGUGGCGAAGGCGGCUCUCUGGGACGGUACUGACGCUGAGACGCGAAAGCGUGGGGAGCGAACAGG
This 254-nucleotide ribosomal RNA is filed under the name uncultured bacterium. RNAcentral describes it as "partial 16S ribosomal RNA". It matches the Rfam family "Bacterial small subunit ribosomal RNA", at positions 524 to 776 of the family's 1533-position model. The record is from RNAcentral.